AUUGAACGCUGGCGGCAUGCCUUACACAUGCAAGUCGAACGGUAACAGGUCUUUCGGGAUGCUGACGAGUGGCGAACGGGUGAGUAAUACAUCGGAACGUGCCUAGUAGUGGGGGAUAACUACUUGAAAGAGUGGCUAAUACCGCAUGAGAUCUAUGGAUGAAAGCAGGGGACCUUUGGGCCUUGUGCUACUAGAGCGGCCGAUGGCAGAUUAGGUAGUUGGUGGGAUAAAUGCUUACCAAGCCUACGAUCUGUAGCUGGUCUGAGAGGACGAUCAGCCACACGGGGACUGAGACACGGCCCAGACUCCGACGGGAGGCAGCAGUGGGGAAUUUUGGACAAUGGGCGCAAGCCUGAUCCAGCAAUGCCGCGUGCAGGAUGAAGGCCUUCGGGUUGUAAACUGCUUUUGUACGGAACGAAAAGUCUUGGGUUAAUACCCUGGGAUCAUGACGGUACCGGAAGAAUAAGCACCGGCUAACUACGUG
This 484-nucleotide ribosomal RNA is filed under the name uncultured bacterium. RNAcentral describes it as "partial 16S ribosomal RNA". It matches the Rfam family "Bacterial small subunit ribosomal RNA", at positions 30 to 507 of the family's 1533-position model. The record is from RNAcentral.